Molecule: ribosomal RNA, 496 nt
Filed under: uncultured bacterium
Lineage: Bacteria
Description: partial 16S ribosomal RNA
Rfam family: Bacterial small subunit ribosomal RNA
Source: RNAcentral
GAUGAACGCUGGCGGCGUUCCUAAUACAUGCAAGUCGAGCGAACAGACGAGGAGCUUGCUCCUCUGACGUUAGCGGCGGACGGGUGAGUAACACGUGGAUAACCUACCUAUAAGACUGGGAUAACUUCGGGAAACCGGAGCUAAUACCGGAUAAUAUAUUGAACCGCAUGGUUCAAUAGUGAAAGACGGUUUUGCUGUCACUUAUAGAUGGAUCCGCGCCGCAUUAGCUAGUUGGUAAGGUAACGGCUUACCAAGGCAACGAUGCGUAGCCGACCUGAGAGGGGGAUGGGCCACACUGGAACUGAAACCCGGCCCAGAUCCCCACGGGGGGCAGGAGUGGGGAAUUUUCCCCAAGGGGGGAAAGCUUGCCGGAGAAACGCCGGGGGGGUGAGGAAGGUUUUCGGAUCGAAAAACUCUGUUAUUAGGGAAAAAAAAAUGUGUAAGUAACAAAGCCCGUUUUGACGGUACCAAACCAAAAAGCCACGGCUAACUACGU